Molecule: long non-coding RNA, 699 nt
Filed under: Pogona vitticeps (central bearded dragon)
Lineage: Eukaryota; Metazoa; Chordata; Lepidosauria; Squamata; Agamidae
Description: lncRNA (ENSPVIG00000003104.1)
Source: RNAcentral
GUCUCGAGACUGAAAUGGCUAGUUUGAUUCAAAUAACCCUAAGUUUAGGGUUGUUAUUGUUUUUGCUCAGAAAAUGUGUUGGUUCAGAAGCCUCCUUUUCCUGAACAUUGGUUGCUUCCUCAACCGUGCGUUUGUUACUGUCAGAAACAGUGAGGCCAACUGUCUCUUGAAGAUCAACUGGCGAGAACUUUGGCUAGAAUUGGAUCAAGUGAACCCAGAAGGCCCAUCUCAAGAAUGUUCCUUUAUGGACAAAGGCAGUUUAUGUGAUCCAAGAGACAUAGUGAAACCAAAUGUUUCUGAAGACAUCCCCUUUGUUCUUAAAGUACUCAGUGAAACUGCUGCUCUGUUUGAAAUGAAAAAUGUCCCCUUCCAUAAUGUGAGAGAUUUUUUGGAGUAUAACUACGUCAUACAAGAUGAGCUCAAAAUUGCUCUACGAUCCCGCUUCAGUCAUCAACUGACUACCAUUACAGUUAAUGAAUGCUUUAAAAAGAUGAAAAUAUUUUUGAACAGGGACACUCACUGUGCUUGGCAGGUGAUCCACCAAGAUGCCUUAGUGAUUUUUCAACAACUAGAGUUCUACAUUGUUACUUCACAGCUGAACUGACCCGCAAGCUGAAGAUCUGACACUCUUGUGGGACAAUUGUUGCUGCUAUAAAGGUUGAUGGUGUUGACUAUAUUUGUGCAAUAAUGUUAGUUUUC